CCAGCCCGGGCCGACCCCCGCGGCGGCGCGCGUGUGCGCAAGGAGGGACACCGCAGAGAGGCCGGGACUCGUGCUGAAGGAGAAAGGCGACAAAAAAUUAAAAAAAAAAAAGGAACAGAUGACUUCAUUCUCGGGAAGGCUCCGUCCUACGUGGACCAAUUUCCUGGGGACUGUGGUGGAACAGCUCCGCUGCCGUUGGAAGCACUUAAAACUAAACCAGAUAAAGACCAGAAAAUUCUUCAGCAGUGCCUCAACCGAGCGAGGGCAGCUGGGAUGCCAACAAUCUCUGGUCCAGACAGAAGCCGGAGGAAAAAGGCCUUCGGAGCUCACGUAAAUAUAAAAACGGAUUUAAGAAGAUAUUUAUACUUAUAAACAAACGACUCCUAAUGAACA
Molecule: long non-coding RNA, 393 nt
Organism: Suricata suricatta (meerkat)
Lineage: Eukaryota; Metazoa; Chordata; Mammalia; Carnivora; Herpestidae
Exons: 2
Source: RefSeq, a predicted model, not a curated record